This 1412-nucleotide long non-coding RNA is filed under the name Marmota monax (woodchuck). Lineage: Eukaryota; Metazoa; Chordata; Mammalia; Rodentia; Sciuridae. The record is from RNAcentral.
CAUCAGUGGGCCUCUCCUUGAGAGGGCAUGACCCUGGUGGCCACUGAGUCCAGGGGACUUCCCUUCAAUCUAUCCUCAAAUGAACAAAUGAACUAUCAAAGGAGUAGGUCCAUUCUGAAGUGCCCUCCCAGGUCCCCUCCUCUUAUUCAAACCCAGAACCACCUUAAAAUUCGAAGUCCUCUGAGAGGGACCUCUUCUCAUUUUAUAGUAUCUUCACAUUUGCCUUACAUGCCAUUUGAAAUCUGUUGUCAUGAUGCUUAGAAAGAGUUCUAUUUUCUUAAGAUUCACACCUACCAUCAGGUACAGACCCACCAAGGAAAGGAGUCGAUCUUUUGUAUGCGUGAAGAGCCAGAGAAUGUCAUUCAUCCAAAUUCCAGGGUGACAGAGGGAGGAGGGCUGAUUUCAUUGAAGAUGAGGAGAGCUGAACCCCAUUUUGGGGAGACCAUGGUCAGGGAAAGGCCCUGAAUCAAGAUCUUGGUACAAGGCCAAGCGCAGUGGCACAUGCUUGUAAUCCCAACAGCAACCAGAGGUAGAGGCAGGAGGAUUGCAAAUUCAAAGCCAGCCUCAGCAAAAGAGAGGCGCUAAACAACUAACUCAGUGAGACCCUGUCUCUAAAUAAAAUACAAAAUAGGGCUGGGGAUGUGGCUUAGUGGUUGAGUGCCCCUGAGUUCAAUCUCCCGUACCAACAACAACAAAGAUCUUGGCACAUAACAAAUCAUCGUAGAACCCAUGGCUUAAAGCCAUCUUUGCUAUUAUCUCUCGUGGUUCUGUCCCUUGCCUGGAUUUAGCCCAACUGUUCCCAUUUGGGGUCUCUUAUGGCAUUGCAAUCAGAUGUUCACUGGGACCAGACAGAGAUAGCUGAACACUCCCCAUGUUUGGACGAUGUUCAAGAUGACUUCCCCACCCACACAGCUGGUGGCUGCCCAGGCACCUCUUUCUGCACACACUGUGGUCUCAGGUAAUCUCUGACAGCCAGUGUCUACAUCCCCGAGGGCCUCCACAACAAGUUACCACAAACUGGGCAUCUUCAAUAACAGAAACUCAUUCUCUCACAGUUCAGAAGAGCAGAAGUCUAAAAGCAAAAUGUCGGCACAAUUGGUUUCUUCCAGCAGCUCUAAAGUGACGUCUUCCUGUCUCUUCCCAGGUUCUGGGGGCUGCCUGCAAUCCUUGGUAAUCCUUGGCUUGUAGAUGCUUCACUCCGAGGUCAGCCUCCGACCUCACAUGGCCUUCUCUGUGUGUCUCUGUCCUCUCCUUUCAUAAGGAUGCUGGUCAUUAGAUAUAGGACCCAUUCCAAAUCCAGAUGGUUUUAUUUUUAUAGCCUAUUACAUCUCUGAAGACUGCAUUUCCAAGUAAGGUUAACUUCUGAAGUUUUAGGUGGACAUGGAUUUUGGAGGGACACUACAAAACCUAGG